Molecule: non-coding RNA, 2989 nt
Organism: Thermaerobacter marianensis DSM 12885
Lineage: Bacteria; Bacillati; Bacillota; Clostridia; Eubacteriales; Clostridiales Family XVII. Incertae Sedis
Source: Rfam
CGAGAAGGUAGGAAGGGCACACGGUGGAUGCCUCGGCGCGAAGGGCCGAUGAAGGGCGUGGUAAGCUGCGAAAAGCCUCGGGGAGCCGCAAGCAGGCGUCGAUCCGGGGAUGCCCGAAUGGGGAAAACCCGGCGGGGGGAAUGCCCCGUCAUCCCGAGCUGAAUCCAUAGGCUCGGGAAGGGAACCGCGGGAACUGAAACAUCUCAGUACCGCGAGGAAAAGAAAUCAACCGAGAUUCCCCGAGUAGCGGCGAGCGAAAGGGGAGGAGCCCAAACCCGGGCGGUGCAAAAGGCUGCCACCGUUGCCGUCCGGGGGUUGCGGGACGCAGGAGCGGGGCAUGGCAGGGUCCCGGCGGAGUGAGCAAGCCACGGGCUAGCCGAAGCGGCCUGGAACGGCCGGCCAGAGAGGGUAAGAGCCCCGUAGGCGAAAGCCGGUGGCCUCCGUUGCUGCGAUCCCGAGUACCACGGGGCACGUGGAACCCCGUGGGAAGCUGGGGGGACCACCCUCCAAGGCUAAAUACCCGAGCGACCGAUAGUGCACGAGUACCGUGAGGGAAAGGUGAAAAGCACCCCGGGAGGGGAGUGAAAGAGAACCUGAAACCGUGUGCCUACAAGCAGUCGGAGGGUCGAAAGACCUGACGGCGUGCCUAUUGAAGAAUGAGCCGGCGAGUGACCGUCUGCAGCGAGGUUAAGGGCCGCAGGUCCGGAGCCGUAGGGAAACCGAGUCCGAAGAGGGCGUGAGUUGCAGGCGGUCGACCCGAAACCGGGUGAUCUACCCAUGGCCAGGGUGAAGCGCGGGUAAGACCGCGUGGAGGCCCGAACCAGGUUGGUGUUGAAAAACCAUCGGAUGAGCUGUGGGUAGGGGUGAAAUGCCAAGCGAACCCGGAGAUAGCUGGUCCUCCCCGAAACCACUUGAGGGUGGGCCUUCCGGGCUGACGCGCGGGGGUAGAGCACUGCUUGGGCUAGGGGCCUUCGCGGGUUACCGAACUCAGGCAAACUCCGAAUACCGCGCGGUGGACCGGAGGAGUUAGAGCACGGGGGAUAAGCUUCGUGCUCGAGAGGGGAACAACCCAGACCGCCAGCUAAGGCCCCCAAGUCCGUGCUAAGUGGAAAAGGAUGUGGGGUCGCUAAGACAACCAGGAUGUUGGCUUAGAAGCAGCCAUCAUUUAAAGAGUGCGUAAUAGCUCACUGGUCGAGCGACCCUGCGCCGAAAAUGACACGGGGCUCAAGCACGGCGCCGAAGCUGCGGACGGACCGGAGGUUCGUGGUAGGGGAGCGUUGCCUGGGCGGCGAAGGUCGGUCGUGAGGCCGGCUGGAGCGCAGGCAAGUGAGAAUGCCGGCAUGAGUAGCGAAAAGGCCGGUGAGAAUCCGGCCCGCCGAAAGCCCAAGGGUUCCUGAGCAAGGCUCGUCCGCUCAGGGUUAGUCGGGACCUAAGCCGAGGCCGAAAGGCGUAGGCGAUGGACAACCGGUUCAUAUUCCGGUACCACCGGGAAGCCGUCAUGAGCGAUGGGGGACGCAGGAGGGUAGGUACCGCCGGCCGCUGGAGAUGGCCGGUGCAAGCGGGUAGGGAGCCCCGGGAGGCAAAUCCCCCGGGGAGUCCCGAGACGCGACGCCGAGCCCCCUCGGGGGCGAAGGGGCCGAUCCCACACCUGCCGACGAAAAAGCCUCUAGCCAGGCUUCCGGUGCCCGUACCCGAAACCGACACAGGUGGGCGAGGCGAGAAGCCUCAGGCGCGCGGGAAAACCCCUCGCUAAGGAACUCGGCAAACUGACCCCGUAACUUCGGGAGAAGGGGUGCCCCCUUGGGGUGAAGGCCCUGGCGGCCGGAGCCUCGGGGGGUCGCAGCGAAGAGGCCCAGGCGACUGUUUAUCAAAAACACAGGUCCCUGCGAAGCCGUAAGGCGCAGUAUAGGGGCUGACGCCUGCCCGGUGCUGGAAGGUUAAGGGGAGGGGUUCGGGCGCAAGCCCAAAGCUCCGAACCGAAGCCCCAGUAAACGGCGGCCGUAACUAUAACGGUCCUAAGGUAGCGAAAUUCCUUGUCGGGUAAGUUCCGACCCGCACGAAAGGCGUAACGACCUGGGCGCUGUCUCGGCGAGGGGCCCGGUGAAAUUGAGCGGCCCGUGAAGACGCGGGCGACCCGCAGCUGGACGGAAAGACCCCGUGGAGCUUUACUGCAACCUGUCAUUGAACGUCUGCCGGCCAUGUAUAGGAUAGGUGGGAGGCUGCGAACCCGGGCCGCCAGGUUCGGGGGAGCCGACGGUGGAAUACCACCCUUGGACGGCGGGCGUUCUAACCGCGGCCCGUGAUCCGGGUCCGGGACCGUGGCAGGUGGGCAGUUUGACUGGGGCGGUCGCCUCCUAAAAGGUACGGAGGCGCCCAAAGGUACCCUCAGCACGGUUGGAAAUCGUGCGUGGAGUGCAAAGGCACAAGGGUGCUUGACUGCGAGACCGACGGGUCGAGCAGGGGCGAAAGCCGGGCUUAGUGAUCUUACGGGUCCUGGGUGGAAGGGCCGUGACUCAACGGAUAAAAGCUACCCCGGGGAUAACAGGCUGAUCUCCCCCAAGAGUCCACAUCGACGGGGAGGUUUGGCACCUCGAUGUCGGCUCAUCGCAUCCUGGGGCCGCAGCAGGUCCCAAGGGUUGGGCUGUUCGCCCAUUAAAGCGGUACGUGAGCUGGGUUCAGAACGUCGUGAGACAGUUCGGUCCCUAUCCACUGCGGGCGCAGGAGACUUGAGGGGAGCCUUCCCUAGUACGAGAGGACCGGGAAGGACCGACCGCUGGUAUCCCAGUUGUCCCGCCAGGGGCACGGCUGGAACGCCAUGUCGGGACCGGAUAAGCGCUGAAAGCAUCUAAGCGCGAAGCCGACCCCAAGAUGAGGUCUCCCAUCCCGUCAAGGGAGUAAGACCCCUGAUAGACCACCAGGUCGAUAGGCCGGGCGUGCAAGGACCGCAAGGUCUUCAGCGACCCGGUACUAAUCGGUCGAGGCCUUCGGC